This 464-nucleotide ribosomal RNA is filed under the name uncultured bacterium. RNAcentral's name for it is "partial 16S ribosomal RNA". It matches the Rfam family "Bacterial small subunit ribosomal RNA", at positions 338 to 795 of the family's 1533-position model. The record is from RNAcentral.
CCUACGGGUGACAGCAGUGGGGAAUCUUCCGCAAUGGGCGAAAGCCUGACGGAGCAACGCCGCGUGAUCGAAUGAAGGCCUUCGGGUUGUAAAGAUCUGUUGACAGGGACAAAUAAGCAAUGCGAAUAGUUUUGUGUAUGACGGUACCUGUUUAGAAAUCUCCUGCUAACUACGUGCCAGCAGCCGCGGUAAUACGUAGGGAGCAAGCGUUGUGCGGAAGUACUGUGCGUAAGGGGCGCGUAGUUGGGCGCUUAAGUCAGUUGUGAAAACUCCGGGCUCAACCUGGAGACUGCACUUGAAACUGGGUGUGUUGAGGGCAGGAGAGGAAAGGGGAAUGCCUAGUGUUGCGGUGAAAUGCGUAGAUAUUAGGAGGAACACCAGUGGCGAAGGCGACUUUCUGGACUGUACCUGACGCUGAGGCGCGAAAGCGUGGGUAGCGAACGGGAUGAGAUACCCUAGUAGUC